This 73-nucleotide transfer RNA is filed under the name Felis catus (domestic cat). It matches the Rfam family "tRNA". From Rfam's summary of the family: Transfer RNA (tRNA) molecules are approximately 80 nucleotides in length. Their secondary structure includes four short double-helical elements and three loops (D, anti-codon, and T loops). Further hydrogen bonds mediate the characteristic L-shaped molecular structure. tRNAs have two regions of fundamental functional importance: the anti-codon, which is responsible for specific mRNA codon recognition, and the 3' end, to which the tRNAs corresponding amino acid is attached (by aminoacyl-tRNA synthetases). tRNAs cope with the degeneracy of the genetic code in two manners: having more than one tRNA (with a specific anti-codon) for a particular amino acid; and 'wobble' base-pairing, i.e. permitting non-standard base-pairing at the 3rd anti-codon position. RNAcentral also lists the same sequence under 2 other names. Lineage: Eukaryota; Metazoa; Chordata; Mammalia; Carnivora; Felidae. The record is from Rfam by way of RNAcentral.
GCCUGGCUGGCUCAGUCGGUGGAGCAUGAGACUCUUGAUCUCAGUGUUGUGAGUUCGAGCCCUGUGUUGGGUG